RNAcentral lists this long non-coding RNA (2067 nucleotides) under Homo sapiens (human). RNAcentral's name for it is "HSALNT0395311". Lineage: Eukaryota; Metazoa; Chordata; Mammalia; Primates; Hominidae. The record is from RNAcentral.
AGGAAGAGAGAGGAGUUAGGACGAGAGUGCCGCAGGGUCCUCCCACACCAGCAUCCCCUCUUCUGUGGUCCCGGGUGGAUGCUGAGCCAUUGGGUGUCUCUCUCAUCUGCUAAUAGAAAUGGCACCCCGGAGAGCUGGUCUUUUCAUUCCAUUUCUCCCGACCUCCCUCAGCAAAUGCUAAUUGAAUUUCCAGUUCUGUGAGAGAGAACUGGAAUCGGAUUCCCAGGCCCCAGGGAGUGGUGCCUGGCAUAACCACUGCUCUGCAAAACAACGCUGCACUUCUGUGGGUGAAAGUGCAGCCGCUCCAUUGCUUUGCUUUGAAUGAGCACUUUUUCUCGUCAGCUAGAGGUGCCAGGGCAGCCGAGGGGAACUGCCAGCGACAACAGGAGCAACUUCUUUUUCGGCGGGACCCUAGCACACCCCUUGCUACACGCGCCAGCAAAGAGCAAAGCCACGUGUCCAUCCCUGGGGACGUCCCUCCUAUGUGCCAUCUCAUCUGCCACACCAGACAAAUCAAAUGCACAGAGAGCUUUGUCUGCAAACUUUGACUUGAAGGGGUCUUAAAACCAUGCAUUUACACGUUUGGGGGACAAAUAAUUUCGAUGUUUAAAAGAGAGUUGGCAGCUAAUUGAGAUGGUGCACAGGUGUGCUGUGGCCCACGGUGUGGAGGUAGCCAGGCGUGGCCAUCCCUCUAGAAAGAGGAAUGCGUUGGUCACUCAGAAUGUCACUUAGAUCGACGAAGCAGAACUGCACUUUUUUUGCAUUCAAAUUUUUAUUCAAAGUUUAGUCUCUCUCCUUGGGUUUCCCCUCUUUUAUGAAAUGAUCAAUUUUGGCGAAGAGCCCCCAGAAAGCAAGAUAGAAAAGAAAUAUGCUCUUUACCGUGGCCGAUCAGCAACGAACCAACACUGUCCUCAUCUAAUUCUACGUCUUCCACACUGCCCAGUAACACAAAUAACCAGAGCGCAGACGCCAAGAAUCCUUCCAAGUAACGCAGCUAACAGACCAAGGUGACAGUUCUGACUUCUUGGGGGGUUUUCCAAGUACAUACGUAGCAUUAUAAACAAGCCUCUAUGUUGUGCUUACACAACUCACUCAAGGGAUUUUUGUUUUCACAAGUGAAAACGUUUAUGAAAUGCUAGCCUGCGAAGCCGCUUCAGGAACCAUCUAGUGAGAUUUCCCUCCCAAGACAGGCAGCUUUCUCACAUACCGUGGAGGCCUCCUGCCGGCCUGGGGACUGACAGGUGCAGGGCCCUGCCCCUCGAGGGCCAGCCUCUCCCUCGGGAGCGUGGGUUUUUCCUGUUUGAUCCUGGCUUAACUUGAACAUCUCUGGCAUUGGAGCUGCCCUCUGGAGUAGCCCAGAAGUUGGCACUCACCUCACCUUUUGCUGCAUUUCCAAGAGAUCAGCCUUUGGACUUCCUGGAAAGUGGUAGAACCACUGUCCUAUGAAACAAAGUGCUUCUGUGCUGAAAUGGAGUAAGUUCCCUGCAGCCUCUGGCAAGCUCAGGAGCCAAAGCUCAGCCAGCCCGAAGGAGCCAGGAUUAGAGCCUGCAUGGAUGCAACAGUCACGCUUCUCUCUAUUACGUGUCUUGCAACUUGGAGUCACAUGAUCUCAGCAUCUGAUCCACCCUGGGCUCAGAACCUCCCAGAACCUCCCAGAAUCGAGGCUCACGGCAGAGGUUCUGCACUCACCAAGGACGCGGGGGGACCAUGUCUGUGCUCAUGUGGAUCCCCGCUGCUGGGCAGAGCACACCACACAUCCAGACUCAACAAAAUACAUGGAGUCAAAGGUCAGGUGACUGAAUCAAUGAGUAUGUUACACACCAAGAAAGACCCCUCCUCUCUGCACCCCGGGGAGCAGCCCCAGAAGCCUGGUCUCCUCCAGGAUGAAAAUGCAAACGCAGGUGCCUGGGGGCUCCCAGAGCCUUUGGCUUCACGGUUCCCUCCCGGCCCUGCCUGGAGCUUCAUGUGCCUCCCCUUUUGCUUAAUGAGAGCCGCUGUCUAAGAGUUAAGGGUUUUCUGGGUGACGUUUAACAAUAAUAAAGGUGACUGCUUAUCUAAGGAAUCCGA